RNAcentral lists this ribosomal RNA (425 nucleotides) under Vibrio parahaemolyticus. RNAcentral describes it as "bacterial SSU rRNA". It matches the Rfam family "Bacterial small subunit ribosomal RNA", at positions 62 to 471 of the family's 1533-position model. The record is from RNAcentral. Lineage: Bacteria; Pseudomonadati; Pseudomonadota; Gammaproteobacteria; Vibrionales; Vibrionaceae.
UCCAAUUAGAUAUUUAUUUCUUAACGGAAAGCGGUAUCAAAUUAGGUUUCAAUGAAACGAAGUGACCAUUCGAAUUGGGAAGCAGCCUUGAGCUGUUUUGUUUCACUUUUUCAAAAGUGAAAACCAAUAAGNUGCCUACGGGCCAAAGAGGGGGACCUUCGGGCCUCUCGCGUCAGGAUAUGCCUAGGUGGGAUUAGCUAGUUGGUGAGGUAAGGGCUCACCAAGGCGACGAUCCCUAGCUGGUCUGAGAGGAUGAUCAGCCACACUGGAACUGAGACACGGUCCAGACUCCUACGGGAGGCAGCAGUGGGGAAUAUUGCACAAUGGGCGCAAGCCUGAUGCAGCCAUGCCGCGUGUAUGAAGAAGGCCUUCGGGUUGUAAAGUACUUUCAGUCGUGAGGAAGGUAGUGUAGUUAAUAGCUGCAU